AGUUUAUGAACUUGAAUAAGUAUAUGUUUUGAAAACAUAAAAUAGGACAAUAAUCCUAUAAACUU
RNAcentral lists this transfer RNA (65 nucleotides) under Bradysia impatiens. RNAcentral's name for it is "tRNA-Ser". The record is from RNAcentral. Lineage: Eukaryota; Metazoa; Arthropoda; Insecta; Diptera; Sciaridae.